CUGCAAAAACAUAUUAGGUUGGUGCAAAAGUAAUUGCGGUUUUUAUCAUUAAAAGUAAUGGCAAAACCCGCAAUUAUUUUUGCACAAACCUAAUAUUUUU
Molecule: microRNA precursor, 100 nt
Organism: Chlorocebus sabaeus (green monkey)
Lineage: Eukaryota; Metazoa; Chordata; Mammalia; Primates; Cercopithecidae
Source: Ensembl